UUGGAGGGCAAGUCUGGUGCCAGCAGCCGCGGUAAUUCCAGCUCCAAUAGCGUAUAUUAAAGUUGUUGCAGUUAAAAAGCUCGUAGUUGAAUUUCGGGAUUGACACAUCGGUCGUGCCUUAAGGGGCAUGAACUGGUGUAGUCAAUUUCUCACCUUCUGGAGAACCGCGCAGUCCUUAAUUGGGUGACGCGGGGAACCAGGACCUUUACUUUGAAAAAAUUAGAGUGUUUAAAGCAGGCAUUUUGCUUGAAUACAUUAGCAUGGAAUAAUAAAAUAGGACGGCAUGAUUCUAUUUUGUUGGUUUCUAGGAUCACCGUAAUGAUUAAUAGGGAUAGUUGGGGGCAUUAGUAUUCAAUUGUCAGAGGUGAAAUUCUUGGAUUUAUUGAAGACUAACUACUGCGAAAGCAUUUGCCAAGGAUGUUUUCAUUAAUCAAGAACAAAAGUUAGGGGAUCGAAGACGAUCAGAUACCGUCGUAGUCUUAACCAUAAACUAUGCCGACUAGGAAUCAGACGAUGUUAAUUUUUUAAUGACUCGUUUGGCACCUUACGGGAAACCAAAGUGUUUGGGUUC
This 571-nucleotide ribosomal RNA is filed under the name uncultured Glomeromycotina. RNAcentral describes it as "SSU rRNA". It matches the Rfam family "Eukaryotic small subunit ribosomal RNA", at positions 548 to 1114 of the family's 1831-position model. Lineage: Eukaryota; Fungi; Glomeromycota. The record is from RNAcentral.